RNAcentral lists this ribosomal RNA (465 nucleotides) under uncultured Pseudomonadota bacterium. Its description in RNAcentral is "bacterial SSU rRNA". It matches the Rfam family "Bacterial small subunit ribosomal RNA", at positions 198 to 644 of the family's 1533-position model. The record is from RNAcentral. Lineage: Bacteria; Pseudomonadati; Pseudomonadota.
GGAGGAAAGUAGGGGAUCGCAAGACCUCAUGCUCGUGGAGCGGCCGAUAUCUGAUUAGCUAGUUGGUAGGGUAAAAGCCUACCAAGGCAUCGAUCAGUAGCUGGUCUGAGAGGACGACCAGCCACACUGGAACUGAGACACGAUCCAGACUCCUACGGGAGGCAGCAGUGGGGAAUUUUGGACAAUGGGCGAAAGCCUGAUCCAGCAAUGCCGCGUGAGUGAAGAAGGCCUUCGGGUUGUAAAGCUCUUUUGUCAGGGAAGAAACGGUGAAAGCUAAUAUCUUUUGCUAAUGACGGUACCUGAAGAAUAAGCACCGGCUAACUACGUGCCAGCAGCCGCGGUAAUACGUAGGGUGCAAGCGUUAAUCGGAAUUACUGGGCGUAAAGCGUGCGCAGGCGGUUUUGUAAGUCUGAUGUGAAAUCCCCGGGCUCAACCUGGGAAUUGCGUUUGAAACUACAAGGCUAG